Molecule: unclassified non-coding RNA, 618 nt
Filed under: Hevea brasiliensis (rubber tree)
Lineage: Eukaryota; Viridiplantae; Streptophyta; Magnoliopsida; Malpighiales; Euphorbiaceae
Source: RNAcentral
GAAAACAUUGUCAAAGACAAGAAGAAAUAACAGAAAUAUCUACAAUCAGAUCCAAAUUAGAAGGAUGAGUUGAUGACUGCCAUGGCAUGUUUCAUCAAGGAUGAUGAUGCAUUCUAUACUCCAAUUGAAAACCAGUGCCGAUCAUAGAGUAAUAUGAAUUUCACAUAAUAUGAGUGUUCACCAUGAGUACCAUAUCCCUCUAGUGGAUGCCACAUCAAAUUUCAAUAAAAUUUUCAUCCUAUAAAUAUUAGGAAUCUAAUUAUUUAAGACAGGGAUUCAAAUUAGUUAUUGAUAAGCAAACUACGUAUCCACAAAAAGAAGAUGACGCAGAACUGUUUUUACAGUUUAACUGGUGAGCCUAAAAGGUCCUCCGUGAAUGAUUGAUCUUAUUCAAGUUUGUAGAGUUCCAAUAGGCCAAGCAAAACAAGCAACAUUGAGUAUACUGUCUCAAUGGGAGAGGAAGAGCAACUUGUGGAUUCUUCGGUCAGUCCCAAAGAACCUUUUAAAAUUGCUGCUUAUGGGCUUCUGGGUUCCUCAGAGGAUGUCAGUCUCUUUCCAAAAAGUACAUAAGUAUAAACUUGUGCAUUCUUCAUAAUUGCCACAUUCUAGGGGCUUAAU